UACGAAGGGGGCUAGCGUUGUUCGGAAUUACUGGGCGUAAAGCGCACGUAGGCGGACAUUUAAGUCAGGGGUGAAAUCCCAGAGCUCAACUCUGGAACUGCCUUUGAUACUGGGUGUCUGGAGUCCGGAAGAGGUGAGUGGAAUUCCGAGUGUAGAGGUGAAAUUCGUAGAUAUUCGGAGGAACACCAGUGGCGAAGGCGGCUCACUGGUCCGGUACUGACGCUGAGGUGCGAAAGCGUGGGGAGCAAACAGG
Molecule: ribosomal RNA, 253 nt
Filed under: uncultured bacterium
Lineage: Bacteria
Description: partial 16S ribosomal RNA
Rfam family: Bacterial small subunit ribosomal RNA
Source: RNAcentral